UCGAGAAUCAUUCGCAAUGGGCGAAAGCCUGACGAUGCGACGCUGUGUGAGCGAUGAAGGCCUUAGGGUUGUAAAGCUCUUUCGCUUGGGAACAAGAGAGGUCGUCUAAUAAACGGCUAAUUUGAGGGUACCAGGUAAAGAAGCACCGGCUAAUUCCGUGCCAGCAGCUGCGGUAAUACGGAAGGUGCAAGCAUUAAUCGGAUUUAUUGGGCGUAAAGGGCGCGUAGGCGGGUUAGCAAGUUAGAUGUGAAAUUUCGGGGCUCAACCCCGAAGCUGCAUUUAAAACUACUUAUCUUGAGGGUAGGCGGAGAGAAUGGAAUUCCACGUGUAGCGGUGAAAUGCGUAGAUACGUGGAGGAACACCGGUGGCGAAAGCGGUUCUCUAGCUUAUUCCUGACGCUGAGGCGCGAGAGCAAGGGGAGCAAACAGG
RNAcentral lists this ribosomal RNA (429 nucleotides) under uncultured bacterium. Its description in RNAcentral is "bacterial SSU rRNA". It matches the Rfam family "Bacterial small subunit ribosomal RNA", at positions 355 to 776 of the family's 1533-position model. The record is from RNAcentral.